UCAAGAUAUUAAGAGUUUACGGUGGAUGCCUUGGCACCAGGAGUCGAUGAAGGACGUGGACGGCUGCGAUAAGCCGCGGUUAGGCGCUGAACAGCCUUUGACCCGCGGAUUUCCGAAUGGGGAAACCCGACGCCGGUAAUGCGGCGUCAUCCAACGAUGAAUAAAUAGUCGUUGGAAGGGAACCGGGCGAACUGAAACAUCUAAGUAGCCCGAGGAAAAGAAAUCAACCGAGACUCCCUGAGUAGUGGCGAGCGAAAAGGGAUCAGCCCAAACCCAACAGGUGUAAGUGGGCACACGUUGCCUGUUGGGGGUUGUAGGACGUUAUGCCCGAGCCGUGCCUGGCUCGGCGACAGUUACAAAAUCAGGUGUUAACCGAAGCGAGUGGAACCUCGCACCACAGAGGGCAAUCGUCCCGUAGGUGAAAACAUUCUGAUCUGUCGAUUGGCGUUCCUGAGUAAGACCGCACACGUGAAACGCGGUCUGAAUCUGGGGGGACCACCCUCCAAGGCUAAGUACUACCUGGUGACCGAUAGUGAACUAGUACCGUGAGGGAAAGGUGAAAAGCACCCCUGAAGGGGAGUGAAAUAGUACCUGAAACCGUAGACUUACAAGUGGUCGGAGCACCUUCGGGUGUGACGGCGUGCUUUUUGCAUCACGAGCCGGCGAGUUACUCGUCAGUGGCAAGGUUAAGCGAUGAGCGGAGCCGUAGCGAAAGCGAGUCUGAAUAGGGCGAUUUAGUCACUGGCGGUAGACCCGAAACUGAGCGAGCUAUCCAUGGGCAGGCUGAAGCGGGGGUAAGACCUCGUGGAGGGCCGAACCGACCUAGGUUGAAAACUGGGCGGAUGACCUGUGGAUCGGAGUGAAAGGCUAAUCAAGCUCAGAGAUAUCUGGUUCUCUCCGAAAUAUAUUUAGGUAUAGCGUCGAGCAAUUGCGUUUCGGCCGUAGAGCACUGUUUGGAUUAGGGGCCCUACCAGGUUACCGACUUCAGGCAAACUCCGAAGACCGUUACGGUUAUCUCGGCAGUCAGUGUGCGGGGGAUAAACUUCGUACGCGAGAGGGAAACAACCCAGACCAUCAGCUAAGGACCCUAAGUACUAGCUAAGUGGCAAACGAUGUCCGAAUGCAGAGACAACCAAGAGGUUGGCUUAGAAGCAGCCACCCUUGAAAGAGUGCGUAACAGCUCACUGGUCAAGUGUUCGGGCGCGGAUAAUUCAACGGGGCUCAAGCUAGUCUCCGAAGCUAUGGGUGUGCAGGCCUGCGGGCUCUGUACGCGGUAGGAGAGCGUUCCAAUUGCGUGAAGCGGCGUCGUAAGGCUCCGUGGAGCGAUUGGAAGUGAGAAUGCCGGCAUGAGUAACGAAAGUGGGGUGAGACUCCCCACCACCGAUUGUCCAAGGUUUCCUGAGUAAAGUUCGUCUGCUCAGGGUUAGUCGGGACCUAAGGCGAGGCCGAAAGGCGUAGUCGAUGGCCAACAGGUUGAUAUUCCUGUACCACGUCGUUUCCGUUAUGACCGAUGGGGGGACGGGGAAGGAUAAGGGAACCCAGGCGAUGGUAGUCCUGGGGCAAGCACGUAGCUAGUCGCUGUAGGGAAAUCCGCAGCGGCGUUUUGACGCGAGGUGCGAUGCCAGCUGGCUUGACCGCCGGCCAGUCCCCGAUUCCAUGCCUCCAAGAAAAGCCUCUAGGCAGGAUUCGCGUGCCCGUACCGAUAACCGACACAGGUGGACAAGUAGAACAUACUAAGGUGAGCGAGCUAACUCUCGUUAAGGAACUCGGCAAAAUCGUCCCGUAACUUCGGGAGAAGGGACGCCCCGUUAGUGUGAACUCCAUCCGGAGGAAGCACGAGGGGGCCGCAGUGAAUUGGUCCAACCGACUGUUUACCAAAAACACAGGCCUCUGCUAAGUCGUAAGACGACGUAUAGGGGCUGACGCCUGCCCGGUGCCGGAAGGUUACGCGGACUUGUUAGCCCUUCGGUGCGAAGCAGCGAAGCUAAGCCCCGGUAAACGGCGGCCGUAACUAUAACGGUCCUAAGGUAGCGAAAUUCCUUGUCGGGUAAGUUCCGACCUGCACGAA
RNAcentral lists this ribosomal RNA (2068 nucleotides) under groundwater metagenome. RNAcentral's name for it is "bacterial LSU rRNA". It matches the Rfam family "Bacterial large subunit ribosomal RNA", at positions 3 to 1996 of the family's 2925-position model. The record is from RNAcentral.